GCUGUGAAUGAAGCUCUGCCGGCUACGUGGGGCGCUAGCUCAACUCAGUGUCCCGGACGCCAGAGCCGACUGAGCGCUCUGCCCGCCGGCGGCGGACACGGGCUCCGCCGCUCCGGACUUCGGCGACAGGUCCUUGGCGGGCCGCUGGCCCUCACCCACCCUCGGAGCACCCCCUGGGCGCAGCGACACAGGGGAAGCGCUCCCCCACUGGCUCGGCCCACGGGAGAUGGGGGUUCCCCGUGCCUGGCCGCCGCCUCCUGGUACUCGGAGGAGUUAGACCGGCCAGUUCUAGCCAGUGCAGGGCGGCAUCUUCCAGGGAGCCCAGCCCUGUUCUCUGAGCCAGGGUCCCUGCGCUGUCCCAGCGAAGUUUUCUCGCGGAGCCACGCCAAGCCCGCCCCGCUUUUGAAUGGGGGAGGUUAGCUCCAGGCAUCCCCUUUCCAGGACUGGGGCAGGGUGGCUCUGGCUGGUUAAGCCCUGUCGAGGCCCCGUUCAUAUCCAUCCUGCCCUGGACUGGCAAGUUUGUGUGGGUCGUAGCGAAGCGGAGUCCAGACUCUCAGAAAAGUGGUUGCUGCGUUUUCCUUUUCCCACUUCGCUCUCCAGACUUUCCAGGCUUGCGCUUGAGCGCCUUCGCCCCAAGGGGAAAACUUUACCUUCACAUCGAUGCGCGUUUUACCACAUUAACGUUUCAGAGCAAAUCAUUUUCCUGGAGUGCCAAGUGAAGUUGUACGUGUGCCCGUGUGUUAACGUCAGUUGUGAGCUACCCCGAAUGAGGGAGGGGAAUCCAGAUGUGUGGAGCAUAACAGGCCAGUAGGAAUCUGCUUUACGUGAACUUCAUAUAUUUAUUAGCAACUACUUGGGCUUGACUUGCGAAAUGUUAAAUUCUCCUGGUCCCACGAGGUGCAGAUCAGUGCUUUAUCACUGCACGCUAAAUAAGAGGGGAAAAAAAAAAAAAAAAGGCAAGUCAAGACAGACUGUCCCAGGUUCCAGAUAAGUCAUCAGAGCGCUUUUUUUUUCCUGGUGAAUUCAUCCUCGGACUUUUGUGAGUUCCUACUUUUCUUGGACUUCUCUAGCCUUUCCUUAUCCAAAGCACUGUCAUUUCUCUGUUGGCUUUUGGGGAUGAGUGUACACUCUCACACGUUUGUCCUUUAAAGAAGGCAUUAAAAAAAGGCCAAAAUGGGAGUUCCGGUCGUGGCUCAGCGGAAACGAAUCGGACUGCCAUCCACGAGGACUUUGGUUCGAUCCCUGGCCUGGCUCAGUGGGUUAAGGAUCUGGCGUUGCCAUGAGCUAUAGUGUAGGUCACAGACAUGGCUUGGAUCCCGCAUUGUUGUGGCUGUGAUGUAGGCCAGUGGCUACAGCUCCGAUUGGACCCCUAGCCUGGGAACCUCCAUAUGCUGC
This 1395-nucleotide long non-coding RNA is filed under the name Sus scrofa (pig). Its description in RNAcentral is "lncRNA (ENSSSCG00015028994.1)". The record is from RNAcentral. Lineage: Eukaryota; Metazoa; Chordata; Mammalia; Artiodactyla; Suidae.